RNAcentral lists this ribosomal RNA (368 nucleotides) under uncultured Methanomicrobiales archaeon. RNAcentral's name for it is "bacterial SSU rRNA". It matches the Rfam family "Archaeal small subunit ribosomal RNA", at positions 970 to 1338 of the family's 1478-position model. The record is from RNAcentral. Lineage: Archaea; Methanobacteriati; Methanobacteriota; Methanomicrobia; Methanomicrobiales.
ACUUGACUAGCUGAGAGAGGUGCAUGGCCGUCGUCAGUUCGUACUGUGAAGCAUCCUGUUAAGUCAGGCAACGAGCGAGACCCACGCCAACAGUUGCCAGCUCGUCCCCGGGAUGGUGGGGACACUGUUGGGACCGCCUCUGCGUAAAGAGGAGGAAGGAAUGGGCAACGGUAGGUCAGCAUGCCCCGAAUUAUCUGGGCUACACGCGGGCUACAAUGGGUGGGACAAUGGGUAUCGACACCGAAAGGUGAAGGCAAUCUCCUAAACCCAUCCGUAGUUCGGAUUGUGGGCUGCAACUCGCCCACAUGAAGCUGGAAUCUGUAGUAAUCGUGUCUCAAAAUGGCACGGUGAAUAUGUCCCUGCUCCUU